GUAACUCAUUUUUGUAUGGAGUUGGAACGUUUGCCUACGUUUGCCGCUAAAGGCGCUGUUUAACUGCAUACAAGUUUGAGUUA
Molecule: microRNA precursor, 83 nt
Filed under: Bombyx mori (domestic silkworm)
Lineage: Eukaryota; Metazoa; Arthropoda; Insecta; Lepidoptera; Bombycidae
Description: mir-2807 microRNA precursor family
Rfam family: mir-2807 microRNA precursor family
Source: Rfam by way of RNAcentral